UACACAGUCCCAGCUCCGCAUUGCAAUGUUUGAUGUGUCUCUGCGGCGUUUUAUGGCUGUAAGAUUAAAACCCAGCCCAUAUUAUAUUUUAGUUAUUGUUGUAAUUGUGCAUCAAUGAUCAAAAAGUAUUUGGCACA
Molecule: small nucleolar RNA, 137 nt
Filed under: Drosophila virilis
Lineage: Eukaryota; Metazoa; Arthropoda; Insecta; Diptera; Drosophilidae
Description: snoRNA:GJ25532
Source: RNAcentral